AUUGAACGCUGGCGGCAUGCCUUACACAUGCAAGUCGAACGGUAACGGGCCUUCGGGUGCCGACGAGUGGCGAACGGGUGAGUAAUGUAUCGGAACGUACCUUUCAGUGGGGAUAACGUAGCGAAAGUUACGCUAAUACCGCAUAUUCUGUGAGCAGGAAAGCAGGGGAUCGCAAGACCUUGCGCUGAUUGAGCGGCCGAUAUCAGAUUAGCUAGUUGGUGAGGUAAAGGCUCACCAAGGCGACGAUCUGUAGCGGGUCUGAGAGGAUGAUCCGCCACACUGGAACUGAGACACGGUCCAGACUCCUACGGGAGGCAGCAGUGGGGAAUUUUGGACAAUGGGGGCAACCCUGAUCCAGCCAUGCCGCGUGAGUGAAGAAGGCCUUC
RNAcentral lists this ribosomal RNA (386 nucleotides) under uncultured bacterium. RNAcentral describes it as "bacterial SSU rRNA". It matches the Rfam family "Bacterial small subunit ribosomal RNA", at positions 30 to 419 of the family's 1533-position model. The record is from RNAcentral.